UGGAACCUGGGAUUCAAGCCGCCAGGCAAAGUGCCCUAGCAGGGACUCUGGCUUAGUGAGAGUCUCUGUUUCCCCCUUUUCUUUCUUUCCACCCAAUAAAACCGGGUCUUACUCAUCAUUCAAAUUGUCUGCGAGCCUGAAUUUUUGUGGCCGUGGGACAAAGAACCCCGUCUUUAACGGAACUAAGGAAAAGCCCUGCAACAAUUUUGGCGCGCAACGUGGGGACUUGAGAAGCGGUUGAACUCUUUUGUGUCAACUAAAAGAACAUAUGAACAUAGCAGGGCUGUCAAGAUAAGGCCACAAGCUUGCCGAGUUGGGGACCUUUGAAAUACAAAGUGACAAGGUUCAACCCAACAACCUGACUUAAUGAAAGUGAAAAACAUUAGCCAGUGAAAAUAUAGAAGGAAAAACAUCAUUGUGAUGGUAACAGAGCUCUGGCCACAGGCGAGACUGAAACUUUUUCUCCUGACUUCCCUGACUUCCCAGGAGUCUGUCUGGUACCUAGAGGAGAAGGUGAGAAAUGAAGAAGAAAAUGCUGCCCAAUUUCCUUCAUUUCCAAUUGAGAGACUCUUUCAAGAUUUCCCAUCUCUGAAUUUGCCAA
RNAcentral lists this long non-coding RNA (601 nucleotides) under Homo sapiens (human). RNAcentral's name for it is "HSALNT0148015". The record is from RNAcentral. Lineage: Eukaryota; Metazoa; Chordata; Mammalia; Primates; Hominidae.